Molecule: unclassified non-coding RNA, 389 nt
Filed under: Hevea brasiliensis (rubber tree)
Lineage: Eukaryota; Viridiplantae; Streptophyta; Magnoliopsida; Malpighiales; Euphorbiaceae
Source: RNAcentral
CUAAAUUGAUUUGGCUUGAUUUAGUCUGUUAAUUUUUUUUUCGUUUUUCUAAUUCAGUUCAAUUCUAUUUUCUCCUUAAUUCCCUUUGAUAUGGUUUGGUCUAUUAAAAAUUUUGAUUUAUUCAUUUUUUUAAUUUUCAAAUCGAACCAAACAGAACAAUGCUCAUCUUUAGUGGGAUUUUGUCAUUGGCAGGGAAACCUGCCAUUAGCAGAAAAUGUGAGCACAAGGUGGCUAGAGUUUUUUUUUGUUUCUUUCCUUUUUGAUACAAAGGUGGGAGAGACCCCAUAAAAACAGCAUACGAGAAUGCAAAGUUGAUGUUUUAAUUUAGAAGUAAAGGAAAAUUUUUUUAUACCUCUGUUUCCUGAGAAAUUGUGGUGGCAACUGUCUGG